GCAGAGUUCGCAAACGGGGAGAAUAGAGGAUGUAAAGGAGAGGGGGUAAAGGAAGGGAUAGACAGAGAUAGAGGAAUGCGGGGCGAGGGAGAGAAACGGCGGGGGCAGAGAGGAGGAGAGAGAGACAGAGUGUCUGGCUGCAUGUGGCGGGGCUGGACACAGGAGGACAGAGGAAAUUUGAGGUGAUGGUUGAAGAGGCAUCUGAGAGGAGUGAGUGGUCAUCAGCUCUAUAACACCCCUCCUGACGAACCACUCAAACAACAGACAGAGACAGACGCCAGCCUCAGUCACAUGACUUGUCCUGCCAGUAAGAAGGAGCCUCCUGGCAGCAUGAUCAUGGUAGAUAUCCUCUCCUCUCUAGCCGCUUCAAGUCAUCCUCUAUGUUUUCACCUCCACCACUGUGUUGUCAUUCUAGGUGUCAAGAACAGAAGACAAGGUACAAGUCCACUCCCAGCCCCUCCCAGCCCCUCCCAGCCCCUCCCAGCCCCUCCCAGCCCCUCCCAGCCCCUCCUGGAGCCUCAGACCAGUACAACCAGCUGACAGAGGUCCUCACACAGCAACAACAGGUUACUGUAACACUUCCUUUAUUACACACUGGUUAUCACAGUACCCUAACUGACUCUGUGCCUCUCCUCCCUCCAUCAGAAGUGUCUGUGCCAGCAUGUGGGAGAUCACUGAGACAACUAGGAGGAAGCACAGAGGGACCAAACCCGAUUUUGGAGGAGCACUACCUGUCCAGAGCUCAGUGAGGAUUUUAAGCUGGACAUCAAAGGAACUGGCCGUAGAUUUAAGAGUCAUCCAGUCCGGAGGCAUCAAGUUUAGGUUGUUCAAAAAGGUCUCUCUCUCUCUCUCUCUCUGCAGUGGGCUGUUCAAGACUGAUAAAGGGAUUGGCAGUGCUGGUAUGAAGCUGUACUCUCUGGAAAGGCAGUGUGAGAGCAAACAGCUUAUAAAGAGGCUGCCUCCUACCAGUGUCUGUAGGGAAGAGUGUCUCAACUGCUAUCUACUCGGCCCUCUUCGGCCCCCGGGCAUGGCCAGGCAUGGGCAUCACCUCCACUGCAGGUUCCUCCUGCCUCUGCCUCUCUGCCUGGACCAGCACCCAGAGACCACCACCACCGCACAGCCCGGUCCAACGCAGCCAGGCCUCUCGGGAAAUGAGAACAGAGGAAAACAUCGUCAAAACAACAAUAAUAAAAACAGGCCACUAGAGAGACAGACAGAGAAGAAGUCAGUAAAGGACAGGGUAAUGUUCAUAAGUUACAACAUAAGAACACACAGUGAAACAGGUCGAAUACCAUCUGAACUUAUACAAUAUCAAAUGCUUAUUUUGUUUUUUAUUCAUUGCAACAUAUUUUGUUAUGGUGUGUGCUCAAAUGAACACAACACGGUUUCAGUAAAGAACAUGUUCAAAUGAAUAGAGGACAGCAUCAACAGGGUUGAGUAUAGGUGGAUGAAAAUGUACACGUUUAGUGUUUGUAUGUGUGUGAAUGAACAGACAAUGGAGGAGCAUCCUAGGCUGGAUGCCUGGCUGGACACACUGUAAAGUUUGUGGGAACAGUACACAUACACACAGCCUCUUGAUUGAGUGGAUACAACACAAUGGAGUUAGUGGGAGGCAUGCAAUGGACACCACAAAACAAAGCCAGGUAGCUAACUAGUAGGCCUAUACCUUUAUUACUGAAGGAGCAGGGAAUUGGAUGGAAGGGUGCCACCACAGCCACACUCAACUUAGAAUAGCAAGUUAAUGAGAACUGUGCAGUGGUAAGCUAGAUUGUUUUUCCAUUCUUCCACACUGCUGUUGAGUGAAACUGCAGGCUCUUGUUUUAUCUUGUCUUGAUUAUUGUCCAGUCAUAUGGUCAAGUGCUGCAAAGAAAGACCUAGUUAAGCUGCAGCUGGCCCAGAACAGAGCGGCAGGUCUUGCUCUUCAUUUUAAUCAGAGGGCUGACAUGCUGACCUCACCGCUCGUGUUACAUGCACAAGAGUUGCAAAAUAAAUUGACACACCUGUUAUUCAAUCAUUUCAAGUACAGUAUUAUACAGAGCCAUGAGUGCAUGGAACAAACUUCCCCCUUAUCUAGCACAAUUGAACAGCAAACCUGGAUUUUAAAAAAACAAAUAAAGCAAAA
This is an RNA transcript of Oncorhynchus gorbuscha (pink salmon), 2122 nucleotides long. RefSeq lists it as uncharacterized. The record is from RefSeq and is a predicted model, not a curated record. NCBI's taxonomy places the organism in Eukaryota, Metazoa, Chordata, Actinopteri, Salmoniformes, Salmonidae. The transcript has 7 exons.